GACAGUAUGGUGUAGUGGUUUAAAUGCUAGACUAGGACUCUGGUAGACCAAGGUUCAAAUCCCCACUCAGCCA
This is a non-coding RNA of Phrynosoma platyrhinos (Desert horned lizard), 73 nucleotides long. The record is from the annotation of a GenBank genome assembly. Lineage: Eukaryota; Metazoa; Chordata; Lepidosauria; Squamata; Phrynosomatidae.